AAGGGUCCUAAAGGAACGUUUAAGACUAAGACGUUGAUAGGUUGGGUGUGUAAGCGUAGCGAUACGUUGAGCUAACCAAUACUAAUGAACCGUGAGGCUUAACCUG
This 106-nucleotide ribosomal RNA is filed under the name Providencia rettgeri. RNAcentral's name for it is "partial 23S ribosomal RNA". It matches the Rfam family "Bacterial large subunit ribosomal RNA", at positions 2820 to 2925 of the family's 2925-position model. The record is from RNAcentral. Lineage: Bacteria; Pseudomonadati; Pseudomonadota; Gammaproteobacteria; Enterobacterales; Morganellaceae.